RNAcentral lists this ribosomal RNA (663 nucleotides) under Triticum aestivum (bread wheat). Its description in RNAcentral is "partial small subunit ribosomal RNA". The record is from RNAcentral. Lineage: Eukaryota; Viridiplantae; Streptophyta; Magnoliopsida; Poales; Poaceae.
AUGACACCCUCUCCGGCUCAAGUACACCGACAUCAAACACUCUAUGUUGAUCCGCGCGCCAAGACCGUCAAGCAAAUCUCACUCCUCUACACGACAAUCAUCCACAAGAGCAAUUCGACGAGCAAGCACAUUGUCAUCGCCAAAACUAAGCUACUCUUGCACAAGCACAAGAAAGGCAACAUUAACGUCACCAAGAGGAAGAGCGAGCGCACCAACACCAAGACGAACAAGAUGCCGAGGCUCGACGUGUUCAACAACAACGGCGAGAAGCUCAAGCACUUGAGGCACAACGUGCCCUUCUCGACACAAGUCGCAACAUCGCCGCAUGCAAUCGACAAACGCGUGAACAAGAAGAAGCACUUCGCGAUGAAGUUCAAGAUAGGAUUUAUCAAGCACGUGUGCAUCGUCAAGUUCCUCAAGCUCCUCCAAAUGCUCGACAAGGUCCUCCACAACCUUGACAAGAACCUCAAGUUCACCAAGAGCAUGAUGACUAUGGAAAUCCUCCACGACAAGUGCAAGUUGAGGGAGACAAUCCUCCGUGUCAAGGACGUCAUCACCCUCGACCCCAACACAAUGAAGAGCAACACUACGGAAAGCUCAUGUUCACCAUGCCCAAGUUCACCGGAAGCAAUGAUCCCGAAGAGUACAUUUCAUGGGCAUUGA